AUGACGAAGGGAACGUCAUUGUUUGGGAAGCGUCGUAAUAAGAUGCACAUGUUGCAUCUCUAAAGCCUACCACCUUCAAAAGUCGACCUGAGGCAAAUGUGGCUACCCUGCCAAGCACAAGAGAAAGUAUAACUGGAGUGCCAAGGCUAAAAGACGAAAUACCACCGGGACUGGUCGAAUGAGGCACCUAAAAAUUGUAUACCGCAGAUUCAGGCAUGGAUUCUGUGAAGGAACGACACCUAAAUCCAAGAGGGCAGCUGUUACAGCAUCCAGUUCAUCUUAAGAAUUUCACCGAUUAGUCAUGCAAUAAAUGUUCUGAUUUUAAAAA
Callithrix jacchus (white-tufted-ear marmoset) is the source of this 328-nucleotide non-coding RNA. The record is from RefSeq and is a predicted model, not a curated record. NCBI's taxonomy places the organism in Eukaryota, Metazoa, Chordata, Mammalia, Primates, Cebidae.